GAGUUUGAUCGUGGCUCAGGAUGAACGCUAGCGGGAGGCCUAACACAUGCAAGCCGAGCGGUAUUGUUUCUUCGGAAAUGAGAGAGCGGCGUACGGGUGCGGAACACGUGUGCAACCUGCCUUUAUCUGGGGGAUAGCCUUUCGAAAGGAAGAUUAAUACUCCAUAACAUAUUUAACGGCAUCGUUUGAUAUUGAAAGCUCCGGCGGAUAGAGAUGGGCACGCGCAAAAUUAGCUAGUUGGUGAGGUAACGGCUCACCAAGGCGAUGAUCUUUAGGGGGCCUGAGAGGGUGAUCCCCCACACUGGUACUGAGACACGGACCAGACUCCUACGGGAGGCAGCAGUGAGGAAUAUUGGUCAAUGGGUGCAAGCCUGAACCAGCCAUCCCGCGUGAAGGACGACUGCCCUAUGGGUUGUAAACUUCUUUUGUAUAGGGAUAAACCUACCCUCGUGAGGGUAGCUGAAGGUACUAUACGAAUAGCACAGGCUAACUCCGUGCCGAGCAGCCGCGGUAAC
Molecule: ribosomal RNA, 515 nt
Filed under: uncultured microorganism
Description: bacterial SSU rRNA
Rfam family: Bacterial small subunit ribosomal RNA
Source: RNAcentral